Molecule: ribosomal RNA, 193 nt
Filed under: uncultured bacterium
Lineage: Bacteria
Description: partial 16S ribosomal RNA
Rfam family: Bacterial small subunit ribosomal RNA
Source: RNAcentral
CAACUCGACUACAUGAAGCUGGAAUCGCUAGUAAUCGCAGAUCAGAAUGCUGCGGUGAAUACGUUCCCGGGUCUUGUACACACCGCCCGUCACACCAUGGGAGCCUGGAAUGCCCGAAGUCAGCGGCCCAACCGGAAGGAGGGAGCUGCCGAAGGCAGGCCCGGUGACUGGGGUGAAGUCGUAACAAGGUAGC